RNAcentral lists this unclassified non-coding RNA (405 nucleotides) under soil metagenome. RNAcentral describes it as "partial contains 5.8S ribosomal RNA, internal transcribed spacer 2, and large subunit ribosomal RNA". The stretch from base 1 to 121 matches the Rfam family "5.8S ribosomal RNA", at positions 35 to 154 of the family's 154-position model. The record is from RNAcentral.
GAUGAAGAACACAGCGAAAUGCGAUAAGUAAUGUGAAUUGCAGAAUUCAGUGAAUCAUCGAAUCUUUGAACGCACCUUGCGCCCUUUGGCCAUUCCGAAGGGCAUGCCUGUUUGAGUAUCAUGAACACCUCAACUCUUUAUGGUUUUCCAUGAUGAGCUUGGACUCUGGGGGUUUUGCUGGCUCACAGUCGGCUCCUCUAAAAUGAAUCAGCUUACCAGUGUUUGGUGGGUAUCAUGGGUGUGAUAACUAUCUACGCUUGUGGUUUUUCCACCAGGUAACCUUCAGCAGUGGAGGUUCGCUGGAGCUCAUAGAUGUCUCUCCUCAGUGAGGACAGCCCUUUGAAUGUUUGAUCUCAAAUCAGGUAGGACUACCCGCUGAACUUAAGCAUAUCAAUAAGCGGAGGA